UGGCUAACUCCGUGCCAGCAGCCGCGGUAAUACGGAGGGGGCUAGCGUUAUUCGGAAUUAUUGGGCGUAAAGGGCGCGUAGGCGGAUUAAUAAGUUAAAAGUGAAAUCCCAAGGCUCAACCUUGGAAUUGCUUUUAAAACUACUAAUCUAGAGAUUGAAAGAGGAUAGAGGAAUUCCUAGUGUAGAGGUGAAAUUCGUAAAUAUUAGGAGGAACACCAGUGGCGAAGGCG
RNAcentral lists this ribosomal RNA (230 nucleotides) under uncultured bacterium. Its description in RNAcentral is "partial 16S ribosomal RNA". It matches the Rfam family "Bacterial small subunit ribosomal RNA", at positions 494 to 723 of the family's 1533-position model. The record is from RNAcentral.